Molecule: ribosomal RNA, 698 nt
Filed under: Escherichia coli
Lineage: Bacteria; Pseudomonadati; Pseudomonadota; Gammaproteobacteria; Enterobacterales; Enterobacteriaceae
Description: bacterial SSU rRNA
Rfam family: Bacterial small subunit ribosomal RNA
Source: RNAcentral
AAAUUGAAGAGUUUGAUCAUGGCUCAGAUUGAACGCUGGCGGCAGGCCUAACACAUGCAAGUCGAACGGUAACAGAAAGCAGCUUGCUGCUUUGCUGACGAGUGGCGGACGGGUGAGUAAUGUCUGGGAAACUGCCUGAUGGAGGGGGAUAACUACUGGAAACGGUAGCUAAUACCGCAUAACGUCGCAAGACCAAAGAGGGGGACCUUCGGGCCUCUUGCCAUCGGAUGUGCCCAGAUGGGAUUAGCUAGUAGGUGGGGUAACGGCUCACCUAGGCGACGAUCCCUAGCUGGUCUGAGAGGAUGACCAGCCACACUGGAACUGAGACACGGUCCAGACUCCUACGGGAGGCAGCAGUGGGGAAUAUUGCACAAUGGGCGCAAGCCUGAUGCAGCCAUGCCGCGUGUAUGAAGAAGGCCUUCGGGUUGUAAAGUACUUUCAGCGGGGAGGAAGGGAGUAAAGUUAAUACCUUUGCUCAUUGACGUUACCCGCAGAAGAAGCACCGGCUAACUCCGUGCCAGCAGCCGCGGUAAUACGGAGGGUGCAAGCGUUAAUCGGAAUUACUGGGCGUAAAGCGCACGCAGGCGGUUUGUUAAGUCAGAUGUGAAAUCCCCGGGCUCAACCUGGGAACUGCAUCUGAUACUGGCAAGCUUGAGUCUCGUAGAGGGGGGUAGAAUUCCAGGUGUAGCGGUGAAAUG